Molecule: non-coding RNA, 73 nt
Organism: Trichonephila clavata
Lineage: Eukaryota; Metazoa; Arthropoda; Arachnida; Araneae; Nephilidae
Source: the annotation of a GenBank genome assembly
GCCCCUGUAGCGCAAUGGAUAGCGCAUUGGACUCCUAAUUCAAAGAUCAUGGGUUCUAAUCCCACCUGGGAUG